ACAACGGCCCUUUUCAGGGCCACAGUUGAGUAAUUAAUUUAUUUAGU
Molecule: non-coding RNA, 47 nt
Organism: Aedes aegypti (yellow fever mosquito)
Lineage: Eukaryota; Metazoa; Arthropoda; Insecta; Diptera; Culicidae
Source: Rfam